UGGAAAAAGAAUUUCUAAGCAAAUGGU
Molecule: non-coding RNA, 27 nt
Filed under: Rattus norvegicus (Norway rat)
Lineage: Eukaryota; Metazoa; Chordata; Mammalia; Rodentia; Muridae
Source: RNAcentral